CCUAAGGGGGGCAGCAGUGAGGAAUAUUGGUCAAUGGCCGGAAGGCUGAACCAGCCAUGCCGCGUGAAGGUCAGUGCCCUAUGGGCGUUAAACUUCUUUUGUGCGGGAGCAAUAAUGGUCACGUGUGGCCAGACGAGAGUACCGUACGAAUAAGCAUCGGCUAACUCCGUGCCAGCAGCCGCGGUAAUACGGGGGAUGCAAGCGUUAUCCGGAUUUAUUGGGUUUAAAGGGUGCGUAGGCUGUGAGGUAAGUCAGCGGUGAAAUGCCCCCGCUCAACGGGGUGAAGUGCCAUUGAUACUGCCUUGCUGGAAUGCGGAUGCCGUGGGAGGAGUGUGUGGUGUAGCGGUGAAAUGCAUAGAUAUCACACAGAACACCGAUUGCGAAGGCAUCUCACGAAUCCGCGAUUGACGCUGAUGCACGAAAGCGUGGGUAUCAAACAGGAUUAGAUACCCUUGUAGUC
This 460-nucleotide ribosomal RNA is filed under the name uncultured bacterium. RNAcentral's name for it is "partial 16S ribosomal RNA". It matches the Rfam family "Bacterial small subunit ribosomal RNA", at positions 338 to 795 of the family's 1533-position model. The record is from RNAcentral.